RNAcentral lists this ribosomal RNA (116 nucleotides) under Pyrgomorphidae sp. CH-2014. RNAcentral's name for it is "partial 16S ribosomal RNA". Lineage: Eukaryota; Metazoa; Arthropoda; Insecta; Orthoptera; Pyrgomorphidae. The record is from RNAcentral.
AAGAAUUCAAAGGUCGAACAGACCUAGUUACUAAACUGAUACACCUAGUACUAAUCUUAAUCCAACAUCGAGGUCGCAAUCAGUCUUGUUGAUAAGAACUCUAAAAGACAAUUACG